AACAGCAGCAGGAGCAGUAGCAGUGGUGGUGGUGGUGGUGGUAAUAGUGUAGCAGCAGCAGCAGUACUAUUUAUACUAAUAGUAGCCAUAACAGUAACAGCACUGGCAACAGCAGUAGCAGCAGUAGUAAGGAGUAUGGAAGGACGCUAUAACACUACCAUUAUCCCUUCCACAUUGCAACUUUCCCCAUAGCGGUGAUGUGUCAUCAGCAGGCGAGAGAAAUUAAAGGGGGAUUUGAGGAGAGUUUUUCAGAAGCCAAAGAUAACAUAAGAAGACUAGCAGAUGACACAGAGCCUAUGACCAAAUACUUAGCCCAGAUUUUACAGGAGGUUCCUAUAAACACCUCAUGAGAGAAAAAGAAAAAAAUCAGACUUCUUCUUUAGUAUGAAGAUAGGGUCAAAAAAUCUUGUGUAGAUUUUCCAGAUCAGAGAGGCUCUGCUCCCCAACCCCUGUGAUGUGGAAGAGGAUAACUGUAAUUAGCACCAGAACCAGAAUUCCAGAGGACUGAUGGUGACUAAUACUUCCUGCCUAUCAACAGAGAAGUGAUGGACUUUUGGUAUAGAACGAGACAUACACUGUCACAUGUGGCCCUGUGUAAGUUGCUUGGUUUUGCUCUAUUUCUUGGUUACAUUUGUUACAUAUCUUUGUUUCUUUGUACCUAUGGGAGAGAGGGUAGGCAAGUCAUUGUGAAGUUUCAACAGUGUUAAAAAGCCCGAGUCCUCCCUACAGAGGUUUCAUGAGACAAAGAAACCGAGAGGGUCUUCACAAACAACAGAACCCCAGUGCAAAACAUUUCAAAAGAAAAGAAUUCUUGCUAAGUGCAAAAAAUACUGUAUCAAGAAUACUGUCCUGCCAUUGUUUGUCUCUAAACUUUGCUGCUGCUGAAAUCCCAAGGACAAAGGGACAGGAAACAGGAUUGUUCUGGAACAGUCUGGAUGUUAUUCUACCGAGCAUGUACAAGCCUACAAAGCAGAAGAGUCAGAAACACAUACAAGACACCCCCUCCCCAGAUUUCCUACUUAUUCAUCAUGAGAUCUUGGGAAGGUUACUUCUUUAUACUGUAAAAUUCUAUAUAGGGACCAGAUGAUCUCCAAGGAUGCUUCUGGCUCCCGAUCCCAUGAUCCAAUCUUCCAGAAGUUUAUGGGUUUAUUAAGAAAAUUAGACGCACUGACAUUGGCCUAUCUCAUCUGCUUUGCAAUGUUUCCU
Molecule: long non-coding RNA, 1206 nt
Filed under: Sarcophilus harrisii (Tasmanian devil)
Lineage: Eukaryota; Metazoa; Chordata; Mammalia; Dasyuromorphia; Dasyuridae
Description: lncRNA (ENSSHAG00000029000.1)
Source: RNAcentral